AUGUUCUCAUAAAAACAGAUGGAUGGAAAUUUAGAUUCGAGGGAAAGACACCUUCCGGAGGUUCUAUUUUCUAAGUAGUUUCCUGAUUCAGGUGAUUAAAGAUCUUCAAACUAGGCAGCACGACUUGAUGAAAACACAAACCAAUGUCUAAGAACUGAUGAAGACUUUUAAAAAGACCUCAAAAUACACAGGGACAAAAAUGAUUCCGAAUCUAAGUCAAUACUUCCACUUUUUGAAUGAUUCUAUGGACGAGAAUGAAAAUUACAAAACAACAACAGAAAAAACGUUAUAGGCUGCGAUCUACAUAUUAGCAAGUGAAUUUAUCAUUGGCGUUUAAUAAUAAUUCCUAUAGUAUAACAAACAUUUCUUCCAACAUUCUAAAAUAAUGCAUUCUGUAAAAUUCAUAGAUCAGCAUCACGUUUUCUCGUUGAAUAAUAUAUGUAUAUAAAACUCCAGCGCUUUAGCCUUGAGGAAGACAGGCUUACGUAUUGAAAGCGCUGUUAUUUGUUUUCUUUUUAAAGUAAUUCACCAACUUUUCUAAUCCGACGUACAUAAAUUGAUUGUCUCUGAAAAAUUUCCUUCAGACGUUGGAAACUGACAAUCAGGCAAAAGUAUGAGCAAAAUAAUCCAGCACGGUGCUCUAAAGGACAAUCUUAUCUUACGUAUUAAAACAAAAAUUUUCUUAAACAUAAAUCAGUGCAAGAUUAAUACCAGACUACAUCUAACUGAAACCUACUUUGCAAAAUCUCUACAGAAUUCAGUAGCUCAA
This is a long non-coding RNA of Limulus polyphemus (Atlantic horseshoe crab), 769 nucleotides long. RefSeq lists it as uncharacterized. The record is from RefSeq and is a predicted model, not a curated record. NCBI's taxonomy places the organism in Eukaryota, Metazoa, Arthropoda, Merostomata, Xiphosura, Limulidae. The transcript is spliced from 3 exons.